AGGGAUCAUUACUGAGUUUACGCUCUAUAUACCCUUUGUGAACAUACCUAUAACUGUUGCUUCGGCGGGUAGGGUCUCCGCGACCCUCCCGGCCUCCCGCCUCCGGGCGGGUCGGCGCCCGCCGGAGGAUAACCAAACUCUGAUUUAACGACGUUUCUUCUGAGUGGUACAAGCAAAUAAUCAAAACUUUUAACAACGGAUCUCUUGGUUCUGGCAUCGAUGAAGAACGCAGCGAAAUGCGAUAAGUAAUGUGAAUUGCAGAAUUCAGUGAAUCAUCGAAUCUUUGAACGCACAUUGCGCCCGCCAGCAUUCUGGCGGGCAUGCCUGUUCGAGCGUCAUUUCAACCCUCAAGCUCUGCUUGGUGUUGGGGCCCUACAGCUGAUGUAGGCCCUCAAAGGUAGUGGCGGACCCUCCCGGAGCCUCCUUUGCGUAGUAACUUUACGUCUCGCACUGGGAUCCGGAGGGACUCUUGCCGUAAAACCCCCCAAUUUUCCAAAGGUUGACCUCGGAUCAGGUAGGAAUACCCGCUGAACUUAA
Molecule: ribosomal RNA, 537 nt
Filed under: Colletotrichum gloeosporioides
Lineage: Eukaryota; Fungi; Ascomycota; Sordariomycetes; Glomerellales; Glomerellaceae
Description: eukaryotic LSU rRNA
Rfam family: 5.8S ribosomal RNA (bases 185-338)
Source: RNAcentral